This 484-nucleotide ribosomal RNA is filed under the name uncultured bacterium. Its description in RNAcentral is "partial 16S ribosomal RNA". It matches the Rfam family "Bacterial small subunit ribosomal RNA", at positions 30 to 507 of the family's 1533-position model. The record is from RNAcentral.
AUUGAACGCUGGCGGCAGGCCUAACACAUGCAAGUCGAGCGGAUGAAGGGAGCUUGCUCCUGGAUUCAGCGGCGGACGGGUGAGUAAUGCCUAGGAAUCUGCCUGGUAGUGGGGGAUAACGUCCGGAAACGGGCGCUAAUACCGCAUACGUCCUGAGGGAGAAAGUGGGGGAUCUUCGGACCUCACGCUAUCAGAUGAGCCUAGGUCGGAUUAGCUAGUUGGUGGGGUAAAGGCCUACCAAGGCGACGAUCCGUAACUGGUCUGAGAGGAUGAUCAGUCACACUGGAACUGAGACACAGUCCAGACUCCUACGGGAGGCACCAGUGGGGAAUAUUGGACAAUGGGCGAAAGCCUGAUCCAGCCAUGCCGCGUGUGUGAAGAAGGUCUUCGGAUUGUAAAGCACUUUAAGUUGGGAGGAAGGGCAGUAAGUUAAUACCUUGCUGUUUUGACGUUACCAACAGAAUAAGCACCGGCUAACUUCGUG